RNAcentral lists this ribosomal RNA (406 nucleotides) under uncultured bacterium. RNAcentral describes it as "partial 16S ribosomal RNA". It matches the Rfam family "Bacterial small subunit ribosomal RNA", at positions 30 to 526 of the family's 1533-position model. The record is from RNAcentral.
AUUGAACGCUGGCGGCAGGCCUAACACAUGCAAGUCGAACGAGUGGCGGACGGGUGAGUAAUGUCUGGGAAACUGCCUGAUGGAGGGGGAUAACUACUGGAAAAGGUAGCUAAUACCGCAUACCCUCAGUUGUGGCCAUAUGGGAUGGGCGUGUGGGUGGGGGAACGGCUCACCAGGGCGACGAUCCCUAGCUGGUCUGAGAGGAUGACCAGCCACAUUGGAACUGAGACACGGUCCAGCUGCCUACGUGAGGAAGCAGUGGGGAAUAUUGGACAAUGGGCGCAAGCCUGAUGCAGCCAUGCCGAGUGGAUGUAGAAGGCCUUCGGGUUGUAAAGUACUUUCAGCGGGGAGGCGUUACCCGCAGAAAAAGCACCGGCUAACUCCGUGCCAGCAGCCGCGGUAAUUC